This 492-nucleotide ribosomal RNA is filed under the name uncultured bacterium. RNAcentral describes it as "partial 16S ribosomal RNA". It matches the Rfam family "Bacterial small subunit ribosomal RNA", at positions 29 to 507 of the family's 1533-position model. The record is from RNAcentral.
AGUGAACGCUGGCGGUAGGCCUAACACAUGCAAGUCGAACGGCAGCACAGUAAGAGCUUGCUCUUACGGGUGGCGAGUGGCGGACGGGUGAGGAAUACAUCGGAAUCUACUUUUUCGUGGGGGAUAACGUAGGGAAACUUACGCUAAUACCGCAUACGACCUACGGGUGAAAGCAGGGGAUCUUCGGACCUUGCGCGAUUGAAUGAGCCGAUGUCGGAUUAGCUAGUUGGCGGGGUAAAGGCCCACCAAGGCGACGAUCCGUAGCUGGUCUGAGAGGAUGAGCAGCCACACUGGAACUGAGACACGGUCCAGACUCCUACGGGAGGCAGCAGUGGGGAAUAUUGGACAAGGGGCGCAAGCCUGCUCCAGCCAUACCGCGUCGGUGAAGAAGGCCUUCGGGUUUUAAAGCCCUUUUGUUGGGAAAGAAAAGCAGCAGGUUAAUACCCCGCUGUUCUGACGGUACCCAAAGAAUAAGCACCGGCUAACUUCGUG